This 71-nucleotide transfer RNA is filed under the name Marmota monax (woodchuck). Its description in RNAcentral is "tRNA.Ala". Lineage: Eukaryota; Metazoa; Chordata; Mammalia; Rodentia; Sciuridae. The record is from RNAcentral.
GAGGUUGUAGCUUAGUGGUAGAGCAUUUACCUAGCAUGUGUGAGGCACUGGGUUCGGUUCUCAGCACCACA